CUUUAUUCUCAAGGAACUAGUAGGCCACAGGGAAAAUGCACCCCUUUCCACCUCUUCCCAGGUGACAAGGCCUUAAAUACCAAACCAAGUGUCCAGAAACUGAGCUUCAGUUCCCUGAUGGCUGCUGAACAACAGAAGGGGCAGUACAACACUGGCUUGAUAUUCAUCUAUGAACCAAUUUAAUUUUAAUUUAAAAAUGACUUCUGAUCUGGCAGAUGAUUUGGGUUCUAGAAAGAAAUUGUGCCAGGCAUGGUGGCUCAUGCCUGUAAUCCCAGCACUUUGGGAGGCUGAGGUGGGAGAAACCUGUGAGCUCAGGAAUUGGAGACCAGCCUGGGCAACGUAGCAAGACUUCAUUUCUACAAUAAUAAUAAUAAAAAAAGGCCAGGUGCGGUGGUUCACACCUGUAAUCCCAGCACUUUGGGAGGCCACGAGACAGGUGGAUCAUGAGGUCAGGAGUUCGAGACCAGCCUGGCCAACGUGGUGAAACCCUGCCUCUACUAAAAACACAAAAAUUAGCUAGGCGUGGUGGCGGGAGGCUGUAAUCCCAGCUACUAGGGAGGUUGAGGCAGGAGAAUCACUUGAAUCUGGAAGGCAGAAGUUGCAGUGAGCCGAGGUCACACCAUUGCACUCCAGCCUGGGCAACAAGAGCGAAACUCUGUCUCAAAAAAAAAAAAAAAAGGGCCGGGCAUGGUGGCUCAUGCCUGUAAUCCCAGCACUUUAGGAGGCCGAGACGGGUGGAUCAUGAGGUCAGGAGUUCAAGACCAGCCUGACCAACGUAGUGAAACCCAGUCUCUACUAAAUAUACAAAAAAAAUGAGCUGGGCGUGGUAGUGAGUGCCAGUAGUCCCAGCUACUUGGGAGGCUGAGGCAGGAGAAUUGCUUGAACCCAGGAGGUGGAGGUUGAGGUUGCAGUGAGCCGAGAUCAUGCCACUGCAUUCCAG
Molecule: long non-coding RNA, 940 nt
Filed under: Homo sapiens (human)
Lineage: Eukaryota; Metazoa; Chordata; Mammalia; Primates; Hominidae
Description: HSALNT0129850
Source: RNAcentral